RNAcentral lists this ribosomal RNA (433 nucleotides) under uncultured bacterium. RNAcentral's name for it is "partial 16S ribosomal RNA". It matches the Rfam family "Bacterial small subunit ribosomal RNA", at positions 29 to 507 of the family's 1533-position model. The record is from RNAcentral.
AACGAACGCUGGCGGCAUGCCUAACACAUGCAAGUCGAACGAGACCUUCGGGUCUAGUGGCGCACGGGUGCGUAACGCGUGGGAACCUGCCCUUAGGUUCGGAAUAACUCCCCGAAAGGGGUGCUAAUACCGGAUAAUGUCUUCGGACCAAAGAUUUAUCGCCUUUGGAUGGGCCCGCGUUGGAUUAGCUAGUUGGUGGGGUAAAAGCCUACCAAGGCGACGAUCCAUAGCUGGUCUGAGAGGAUGAUCAGCCACACUGGGACUGAGACACGGCCCAGACUCCUACGGGAGGCAGCAGUGGGGAAUAUAGGACAAUGGGCGAAAGCCUGAUCCAGCAAUGCCGCGUGAGUGAUGAAGGCCUUAGGGUUGUAAAGCUCUUUUACCCGGGAUGAUAAUGACAGUACCGGGAGAAUAAGCUCCGGCUAACUCCGUG